RNAcentral lists this ribosomal RNA (2902 nucleotides) under Escherichia coli. Its description in RNAcentral is "23S ribosomal RNA". It matches the Rfam family "Bacterial large subunit ribosomal RNA". Lineage: Bacteria; Pseudomonadati; Pseudomonadota; Gammaproteobacteria; Enterobacterales; Enterobacteriaceae. The record is from RNAcentral.
GGUUAAGCGACUAAGCGUACACGGUGGAUGCCCUGGCAGUCAGAGGCGAUGAAGGACGUGCUAAUCUGCGAUAAGCGUCGGUGAGGUGAUAUGAACCGUUAUAACCGGCGAUUUCCGAAUGGGGAAACCCAGUGUGUUUCGACACACUAUCAUUAACUGAAUCCAUAGGUUAAUGAGGCGAACCGGGGGAACUGAAACAUCUAAGUACCCCGAGGAAAAGAAAUCAACCGAGAUUCCCCCAGUAGCGGCGAGCGAACGGGGAGGAGCCCAGAGCCUGAAUCAGUGUGUGUGUUAGUGGAAGCGUCUGGAAAGGCGCGCGAUACAGGGUGACAGCCCCGUACACAAAAAUGCACAUGCUGUGAGCUCGAUGAGUAGGGCGGGACACGUGGUAUCCUGUCUGAAUAUGGGGGACCAUCCUCCAAGGCUAAAUACUCCUGACUGACCGAUAGUGAACCAGUACCGUGAGGGAAAGGCGAAAAGAACCCCGGCGAGGGGAGUGAAAAAGAACCUGAAACCGUGUACGUACAAGCAGUGGGAGCCUCUUAAUGGGGUGACUGCGUACCUUUUGUAUAAUGGGUCAGCGACUUAUAUUCUGUAGCAAGGUUAACCGAAUAGGGGAGCCGAAGGGAAACCGAGUCUUAACUGGGCGUUAAGUUGCAGGGUAUAGACCCGAAACCCGGUGAUCUAGCCAUGGGCAGGUUGAAGGUUGGGUAACACUAACUGGAGGACCGAACCGACUAAUGUUGAAAAAUUAGCGGAUGACUUGUGGCUGGGGGUGAAAGGCCAAUCAAACCGGGAGAUAGCUGGUUCUCCCCGAAAGCUAUUUAGGUAGCGCCUCGUGAAUUCAUCUCCGGGGGUAGAGCACUGUUUCGGCAAGGGGGUCAUCCCGACUUACCAACCCGAUGCAAACUGCGAAUACCGGAGAAUGUUAUCACGGGAGACACACGGCGGGUGCUAACGUCCGUCGUGAAGAGGGAAACAACCCAGACCGCCAGCUAAGGUCCCAAAGUCAUGGUUAAGUGGGAAACGAUGUGGGAAGGCCCAGACAGCCAGGAUGUUGGCUUAGAAGCAGCCAUCAUUUAAAGAAAGCGUAAUAGCUCACUGGUCGAGUCGGCCUGCGCGGAAGAUGUAACGGGGCUAAACCAUGCACCGAAGCUGCGGCAGCGACACUAUGUGUUGUUGGGUAGGGGAGCGUUCUGUAAGCCUGUGAAGGUGGCCUGUGAGGGUUGCUGGAGGUAUCAGAAGUGCGAAUGCUGACAUAAGUAACGAUAAAGCGGGUGAAAAGCCCGCUCGCCGGAAGACCAAGGGUUCCUGUCCAACGUUAAUCGGGGCAGGGUGAGUCGACCCCUAAGGCGAGGCCGAAAGGCGUAGUCGAUGGGAAACAGGUUAAUAUUCCUGUACUUGGUGUUACUGCGAAGGGGGGACGGAGAAGGCUAUGUUGGCCGGGCGACGGUUGUCCCGGUUUAAGCGUGUAGGCUGGUUUUCCAGGCAAAUCCGGAAAACCAAGGCUGAGGCGUGAUGACGAGGCACUACGGUGCUGAAGUGACAAAUGCCCUGCUUCCAGGAAAAGCCUCUAAGCAUCAGGUAACAUCAAAUCGUACCCCAAACCGACACAGGUGGUCAGGUAGAGAAUACCAAGGCGCUUGAGAGAACUCGGGUGAAGGAACUAGGCAAAAUGGUGCCGUAACUUCGGGAGAAGGCACGCUGAUAUGUAGGUGAAGCGACUUGCUCGUGGAGCUGAAAUCAGUCGAAGAUACCAGCUGGCUGCAACUGUUUAUUAAAAACACAGCACUGUGCAAACACGAAAGUGGACGUAUACGGUGUGACGCCUGCCCGGUGCCGGAAGGUUAAUUGAUGGGGUUAGCGGUAACGCGAAGCUCUUGAUCGAAGCCCCGGUAAACGGCGGCCGUAACUAUAACGGUCCUAAGGUAGCGAAAUUCCUUGUCGGGUAAGUUCCGACCUGCACGAAUGGCGUAAUGAUGGCCAGGCUGUCUCCACCCGAGACUCAGUGAAAUUGAACUCGCUGUGAAGAUGCAGUGUACCCGCGGCAAGACGGAAAGACCCCGUGAACCUUUACUAUAGCUUGACACUGAACAUUGAGCCUUGAUGUGUAGGAUAGGUGGGAGGCUUUGAAGUGUGGACGCCAGUCUGCAUGGAGCCGACCUUGAAAUACCACCCUUUAAUGUUUGAUGUUCUAACGUUGGCCCCUAAUCGGGGUUGCGGACAGUGUCUGGUGGGUAGUUUGACUGGGGCGGUCUCCUCCUAAAGAGUAACGGAGGAGCACGAAGGUUGGCUAAUCCUGGUCGGACAUCAGGAGGUUAGUGCAAUGGCAUAAGCCAGCUUGACUGCGAGCGUGACGGCGCGAGCAGGUGCGAAAGCAGGUCAUAGUGAUCCGGUGGUUCUGAAUGGAAGGGCCAUCGCUCAACGGAUAAAAGGUACUCCGGGGAUAACAGGCUGAUACCGCCCAAGAGUUCAUAUCGACGGCGGUGUUUGGCACCUCGAUGUCGGCUCAUCACAUCCUGGGGCUGAAGUAGGUCCCAAGGGUAUGGCUGUUCGCCAUUUAAAGUGGUACGCGAGCUGGGUUUAGAACGUCGUGAGACAGUUCGGUCCCUAUCUGCCGUGGGCGCUGGAGAACUGAGGGGGCUGCUCCUAGUACGAGAGGACCGGAGUGGACGCAUCACUGGUGUUCGGGUUGUCAUGCCAAUGGCACUGCCCGGUAGCUAAAUGCGGAAGAGAUAAGUGCUGAAAGCAUCUAAGCACGAAACUUGCCCCGAGAUGAGUUCUCCCUGAGACUUAGAGUCUCCUGAAGGAACGUUGAAGACGACGACGUUGAUAGGCCGGGUGUGUAAGCGCAGCGAUGCGUUGAGCUAACCGGUACUAAUGAACCGUGAGGCUUAACCUU